Molecule: ribosomal RNA, 441 nt
Filed under: uncultured bacterium
Lineage: Bacteria
Description: partial 16S ribosomal RNA
Rfam family: Bacterial small subunit ribosomal RNA
Source: RNAcentral
CCUACGGGAGGCAGCAGUGGGGGAUAUUGCACAAUGGGGGGAACCCUGAUGCAGCGACGCCGCGUGGGUGAAGGAGUGCUUCGGCAUGUAAAGCCCUAUCGGCAGGGAAGAAGCAAGACGGUACCUGACUAAGAAGCCCCGGCUAACUACGUGCCAGCAGCCGCGGUAAUCCGUAGGGGGCGAGCGUUAGCCGGAGUCACUGGGUGUAAAGGGAGCGUAGACGGCAAUGCAAGCCAGGGGUGAAAGCCCGGGGGCCAACCCCGGGACUGCACUUGGAACGGCAUGGCUGGGGUGCGGGAGGGGCAGGCGGAAUUCCGGGUGUAGCGGUGAAAUGCGUAGAUAUCAGGAGGAACACCGGCGGCGAAGGCGGCCUGCUGGACCGCGACUGACGUUGAGGCUCGAAAGCGUGGGGAGCGAACAGGAUUAGAUACCCCUGUAGUC